GACGAACGCUGGCGGCGUGCUAAACACAUGCAAGUCGAACGGAAAGGCCCUUCGGGGUACUCGAGUGGCGAACGGGUGAGUAACACGUGGGUGAUCUGCCCUGCACUUUGGGAUAAGCCUGGGAAACUGGGUCUAAUCCCGAAUAGGACAACGCGCUUCAUGUGGUGUGUUGAAAGGCUUUUGCGGUGUGGGAUGGGCCCGCGGCCUAUCAGCUUGUUGGUGGGGUAAUGGCCUACCAAGGCGACGACGGGUAGCCGGCCUGAGAGGGUGACCGGCCACACUGGGACUGAGAUACGGCCCAGACUCCUACGGGAGGCAGCAGUGGGGAAUAUUGCACAAUGGGCGCAAGCCUGAUGCAGCGACGCCGCGUGAGGGAUGACGGCCUUCGGGUUGUAAACCUCUUUCACCAGGGACGAAGCGUAAGUGACGGUACCUGGAGAAGAAGCACCGGCCAACUACGUG
This 462-nucleotide ribosomal RNA is filed under the name uncultured bacterium. RNAcentral describes it as "partial 16S ribosomal RNA". It matches the Rfam family "Bacterial small subunit ribosomal RNA", at positions 28 to 507 of the family's 1533-position model. The record is from RNAcentral.